Molecule: non-coding RNA, 73 nt
Organism: Clostridiales bacterium 41_12_two_minus
Lineage: Bacteria; Bacillati; Bacillota; Clostridia; Eubacteriales
Source: Rfam
ACUGUGGAGUGUACAAGAACUUGUGAGUAGACAGAACUUCGGUUCGUCAAAAGCAUACACGAUGAAGCAGUAA